This 433-nucleotide ribosomal RNA is filed under the name uncultured bacterium. Its description in RNAcentral is "partial 16S ribosomal RNA". It matches the Rfam family "Bacterial small subunit ribosomal RNA", at positions 29 to 507 of the family's 1533-position model. The record is from RNAcentral.
AACGAACGCUGGCGGCAUGCCUAACACAUGCAAGUCGAACGAGACCUUCGGGUCUAGUGGCGCACGGGUGCGUAACGCGUGGGAACCUGCCCUUAGGUUCGGAAUAACUCAGAGAAAUUUGAGCUAAUACCGGAUAAUGUCUUCGGACCAAAGAUUUAUCGCCUUUGGAUGGGCCCGCGUAGGAUUAGCUUGUUGGUGGGGUAAUGGCCUACCAAGGCGACGAUCCUUAGCUGGUCUGAGAGGAUGAUCAGCCACACUGGGACUGAGACACGGCCCAGACUCCUACGGGAGGCAGCAGUGGGGAAUAUUGGACAAUGGGCGAAAGCCUGAUCCAGCAAUGCCGCGUGAGUGAUGAAGGCCUUAGGGGUGUAAAGCUCUUUUACCAGGGAUGAUAAUGACAGUACCUGGAGAAUAAGCUCCGGCUAACUCCGUG